Long non-coding RNA from Mustela lutreola (European mink), 732 nucleotides. RefSeq lists it as uncharacterized. The transcript has 2 exons. The record is from RefSeq and is a predicted model, not a curated record. Lineage: Eukaryota; Metazoa; Chordata; Mammalia; Carnivora; Mustelidae.
CAAACACACCAGCAACCCCGUUCCUUUCACCCACAAAUUACCGCUCCGCAGUACCCUGGCCUCUCAGUCCACUCAAACUACAUCAUGAAUCGCCGCUGCAUUUAUGAAUGAGGCGCCACAAUCACCGCCUCCGGUUUGAGCCCCGCCCCCAAAGUCGGCUCCGCCCCCUUAUCCGAGGGCUCCUGGGAAAUGUAGUCUCCGCCAGCUGCCUCUGUACUUCCGUGAGGGCACUGGGAGACCCAGGCAAACUACCAUACCCAGCGGGGAUCGCAGGGGCGGACGUUACCUCAGGAAUUCACUGCUGGAAGUUUUCCUCCUGGGUCGCCGGCUAGUGGGCGGGCGGCUGAGCGGGAGGGAAGAACCGUUCCUAGUGAACUUCCGUGACCGCCUCCCCCGCCCCCGCCCUCCCCGCCUUGAAAACUAAGGAAGGAGCCUUUGCGAGAAGUCUCCGUGUUCAGAGAAAAAUGAGGAAACCAAAGCCCAAGACUUCCAACAUCACACAACAAUUUAAGAUGCCGUUUGAGGAUGUAAAUGCUCUUCUUCGUUUAUAAUGGCCCUUUGGCUUGAAAAAACAUGCCUAAAAGUUUCAUCAUUUCUCUUAAAAUGUUUUAUCUUUUCAGAUAGUCACAAUAUCCUCAAAUUUUGUGCCGUAUUUCAUUACUGUAUUUUUAUUCUAAUGUAGUAUGUACUACCAUACUGCUUGUUGAUUGAAUAAAUGGGUCUUUUGCCACA